GACGAACGCUGGCGGCGUGCCUAAUACAUGCAAGUAGAACGCUGAAGCUUGGUGCUUGCACCGAGCGGAUGAGUUGCGAACGGGUGAGUAACGCGUAGGUAACCUGCCUGGUAGCGGGGGAUAACUAUUGGAAACGAUAGCUAAUACCGCAUAACAGUAGAUAUCGCAUGAUAUGUGCUUGAAAGGUGCAAUUGCAUCACUACCAGAUGGACCUGCGUUGUAUUAGCUAGUUGGUGAGGUAACGGCUCACCAAGGCAACGAUACAUAGCCGACCUGAGAGGGUGAUCGGCCACACUGGGACUGAGACACGGCCCAGACUCCUACGGGAGGCAGCAGUAGGGAAUCUUCGGCAAUGGACGGAAGUCUGACCGAGCAACGCCGCGUGAGUGAAGAAGGUUUUCGGAUCGUAAAGCUCUGUUGUAAGAGAAGAACGAGUGUGAGAGUGGAAAGUUCACACU
Molecule: ribosomal RNA, 458 nt
Filed under: Streptococcus sp. oral taxon 061
Lineage: Bacteria; Bacillati; Bacillota; Bacilli; Lactobacillales; Streptococcaceae
Description: bacterial SSU rRNA
Rfam family: Bacterial small subunit ribosomal RNA
Source: RNAcentral